UAUAACAGGCCAAACAUAGUCUGACUGGACUGAUUCAUCAAAGUGUGUGAGGAAAAACUGGAGGGACCAAUCACAGCUCAGCUUUCACUUUACCACAGCUCAGAGGAAACCCGAGCUGUGAUUGGUCGCUGUGGGCAAAAUCUCUCCAGUUUUUCUCUCACACAGCUUGAUAAAUCUCCCCCAUUGUGUGUUAUAGGCCAGCAGACAUUUUAUACUCUAUUCUGCUCCUUAAGUAGUUAGUAACUAAGCCAAACUGGAGAAGGAACUAGAGGGGCAGCAGAAGACCACAAUCAAGCAGAACACUCACCCCAAACAUUUGACGUAGAUCAGGGUCUCGAAAGCGAAAUGCAUAAAAAACCCAGCAGACUAAGCUCCUCUUUACAAUGAAGAAAAGGAAUAGUCAGCGUUCGCCAAAAGGACACUUUGCCUAAGGACGCCAAGAGCUUUCCAGGCACCGAUGCCAACUGUGUGCAAAGAACAAGAUGUGAACUGAGCCUUACACACAACGCCUAAAAAUAAACGUAUACAGGAAGCUAAAUGACUAAGUGCAUCCAAAAACCAUAGGCAUUAAAAAUCUAAUAUGUUUUAAUCAGCAGAAUAAAUAAAAAAACAAAU
Hyla sarda is the source of this 615-nucleotide long non-coding RNA. RefSeq lists it as uncharacterized. The transcript is spliced from 4 exons. The record is from RefSeq and is a predicted model, not a curated record. Lineage: Eukaryota; Metazoa; Chordata; Amphibia; Anura; Hylidae.